CAUGGAGGGUGAGAAUCCCGUUCGGUUAAUCAUUGCGUUUUACGAUACGCUUUCAAAGAGUCAAGUUGUUUGGGAUUGCAGCUUAAAAUGGGAGGUAAAUUUCUCCUAAGGCCAAAUAUUGGCGAGAGACCGAUAGCGAACAAGUACCGUGGGGGAAAGAUGAAAAGCACUUUGAAAAGAGAGUUAAACAGCGCGUGAAAUUGUUGAAAGGGAAACGAUUGAAGUCAGUCGUACCGACGAGUAAUCAGCCUUUCGGGUGUGAUUUUGCCGGACACGGAGAGCUUUACCGCAUUCGUGCUUGUAAAUUUGUGCCCUUUGGGUGUACUUUCUCGUAUGGUUAGUUAACAUCAAUUUUGGUCGUUAUAAAAUGACUGGAGUAAUGUAGCUUCGAUCUUGUAUUGAAGUGUUAUAGACUUUGGUAGAUGUAACGAUUGGGAUUGAGGAUUGCAACGAAUACCCUUUGGGCUAUCCGUCUGACCUCUGAAAGUCGCUCGGGUGUCGAAAGCGUGCUUAUGACAUUUUAGUUGGCGGUCAAAAGGUUAGAACGCGAUUACAUUCGUUAAGGAUGUUGACGUAAUGG
RNAcentral lists this ribosomal RNA (580 nucleotides) under uncultured Glomus. RNAcentral describes it as "partial large subunit ribosomal RNA". It matches the Rfam family "Eukaryotic large subunit ribosomal RNA", at positions 204 to 637 of the family's 3401-position model. The record is from RNAcentral. Lineage: Eukaryota; Fungi; Glomeromycota; Glomeromycetes; Glomerales; Glomeraceae.